RNAcentral lists this ribosomal RNA (497 nucleotides) under uncultured bacterium. RNAcentral's name for it is "bacterial SSU rRNA". It matches the Rfam family "Bacterial small subunit ribosomal RNA", at positions 28 to 530 of the family's 1533-position model. The record is from RNAcentral.
GAUGAACGCUGGCGGCGUGCCUAAUACAUGCAAGUCGAACGAGGAACUUUAAUCUUCGGAUGAAAGUUUCCUAGUGGCGAACGGGUGAGUAACGCGUUGGUGACCUGCCCCAAAGUGGGGGAUAACAGUUCGAAAGGACUGCUAAUACCGCAUAAGAUCAAUGGGAUUAGAUGCCUAUUGAUUAAAGGCGAAAGUCGCUUUGGGAGGGGCCUGCGUCCCAUCAGCUUGUUGGUAGGGUAAUAGCCUACCAAGGCUAAGACGGGUAGGGGACCUGAGAGGGUGGCCCCCCACACUGGCACUGAAACACGGGCCAGACACCUACGGGUGGCAGCAGUAGGGAAUAUUGGACAAUGGGCGAAAGCCUGAUCCAGCAACGCCGCGUGCGCGAUGAAAGGCCUUCGGGUUGUAAAGCGCUUUUAGGGGAGAUGAGAAAGGACAGUAUCCUCUGAAUAAGCCUCGGCGAACUACGUGCCAGCAGCCGCGGUAAAGUCACGUCG